RNAcentral lists this ribosomal RNA (462 nucleotides) under uncultured bacterium. Its description in RNAcentral is "partial 16S ribosomal RNA". It matches the Rfam family "Bacterial small subunit ribosomal RNA", at positions 28 to 507 of the family's 1533-position model. The record is from RNAcentral.
GACGAACGCUGGCGGCGUGCUUAACACAUGCAAGUCGAGCGGUAAGGCCUUUCGGGGUACACGAGCGGCGAACGGGUGAGUAACACGUGGGUGAUCUGCCCUGCACUUCGGGAUAAGCCUGGGAAACUGGGUCUAAUGCCGGAUAUGACCUCCUAUCGCAUGGUGGGUGGUGGAAAGAUUUAUCGGUGCAGGAUGGGCCCGCGGCCUAUCAGCUUGUUGGUGGGGUAACGGCCUACCAAGGCGACGACGGGUAGCCGACCUGAGAGGGUGACCGGCCACACUGGGACUGAGACACGGCCCAGACUCCUACGGGAGGCAGCAGUGGGGAAUAUUGCACAAUGGGCGAAAGCCUGAUGCAGCGACGCCGCGUGAGGGAUGACGGCCUUCGGGUUGUAAACCUCUUUCAGCAGGGACGAAGCGCAAGUGACGGUACCUGCAGAAGAAGCACCGGCUAACUACGUG